This is a non-coding RNA of Ceratobasidium sp. AG-Ba, 72 nucleotides long. Lineage: Eukaryota; Fungi; Basidiomycota; Agaricomycetes; Cantharellales; Ceratobasidiaceae. The record is from the annotation of a GenBank genome assembly.
UCCCGCUUAGCUCAGUGGUAGAGCGCGUCACUAGUAAUGACGAGGUCACUUGUUCGAGUCAGGUAGUGGGAA